This 763-nucleotide long non-coding RNA is filed under the name Sus scrofa (pig). RNAcentral's name for it is "lncRNA (ENSSSCG00070018753.1)". Lineage: Eukaryota; Metazoa; Chordata; Mammalia; Artiodactyla; Suidae. The record is from RNAcentral.
GCCCCAGGGAGCAAGGGCUUCAGCAGGAUGGUUUGCUGGGGGAGAAUGGAGACAAGCAACACCAACAGCUCCCUGUGGCCGGAGGCUAAAUUCAGAUCAAUGACUAUGAGCAGAAGCGGUGCAGGCAAUUCCAGGUCCUAACAUUCCAAAGAAAGCUGGUGAACCAGAGGCAAGUGCAACCUGCCUGUUCCAGAGAUAGGAGGCGUGUGUCCAUGUUGGCAGAACCUCUGUCCACCCCCGACUGACCCUCUGGACUGUACGGAGAGAGAAAUAAGCUUUAUUCUUAUCUCUUAUUUGAACCUAUCUAUCUUGUGGUCCCUUUGUUAUCGCAGCUAAACCUGUACCCUAAUCAUACGAAUACAGAGCUAGCGGUAAAGUCACAGUUGGCCUUUGGAUAAUGGUGGUUGGUAGAAAAUGGGGGUCAUCAAGGGGGAAGUCAUUGCCUUGAAAAGUGGACCUUGUCCCCUGAAGUGUCCUGAGAGAUAUCUUGUUAAGCACUCACAUUUUCAGAACAACUAAGAGACAGUGAGUGGUCUUCGGAUCAGAUGAAGCAACACAAUGAAAUUGGGGGGAAGACAGACUUAUAAGAGCUUUAGCAAAGCUUUCCUUCACCUGAGGUUUGCAUGAGAAAGGGCUUUGGAAUUCAGAACAAAGGAACUGCCUGCCUUUAACUUGUGCGUUUGCAUAUUUAUAAAUUUCCCCCUUCGCCCUGUAGCCCAUGUUAGGAGAUGAGUCCAUUUCAAAACUUUUUAGAUCAAAAAAU